This 200-nucleotide ribosomal RNA is filed under the name uncultured bacterium. RNAcentral describes it as "partial 16S ribosomal RNA". It matches the Rfam family "Bacterial small subunit ribosomal RNA", at positions 1294 to 1500 of the family's 1533-position model. The record is from RNAcentral.
CGGAUCGAAGUCUGCAACCCGACUUCGUGAAGCUGGAUUCGCUAGUAAUCGCACAUCAGCCAUGGCGCGGUGAAUACCGUUCCCGGGCCUUGUACACACCGCCCGUCAAGCCAUGAAAGCCGGGGGUACCUGAAGUACGUAACCGCAAGGAGCGUCCUAGGGUAAAACUGGUAAUUGGGGCUAAGUCGUAACAAGGUACC